This 69-nucleotide transfer RNA is filed under the name Trachypithecus phayrei crepuscula. RNAcentral's name for it is "tRNA-Val". Lineage: Eukaryota; Metazoa; Chordata; Mammalia; Primates; Cercopithecidae. The record is from RNAcentral.
CAAGGUAUAGCUCAACACAAAGCAUCCUGCUUACACCCGGAAGAUAUCAACAUCACCUGAUUACCUUGA